UAGGGAAUCUUCGGCAAUGGACGAAAGUCUGACCGAGCAACGCCGCUUGAGUGAAGAAGGUUUUCGGAUCGUAAAACUCUGUUGUUAGAGAAGAACAAGGACGUUAGUAACUGAACGUCCCCUGACGGUAUCUAACCAGAAAGCCACGGCUAACUACGUGCCAGCAGCCGCGGUAAUACGUAGGUGGCAAGCGUUGUCCGGAUUUAUUGGGCGUAAAGCGAGCGCAGGCGGUUUCUUAAGUCUGAUGUGAAAGCCCCCGGCUCAACCGGGGAGGGUAAUUGGAAACUGGGAGACUUGAGUGCAGAAGAGGAGAGUGGAAUUCCAUGUGUAGCGGUGAAAUGCGUAGAUAUAUGGAGGAACACCAGUGGCGAAGGCGGCUCUCUGGUCUGUAACUGACGCUGAGGCUCGAAAGCGUGGGGAGCAAACAGG
Molecule: ribosomal RNA, 429 nt
Filed under: Gemmatimonadota bacterium
Lineage: Bacteria; Pseudomonadati; Gemmatimonadota
Description: Gemmatimonadetes bacterium partial 16S ribosomal RNA
Rfam family: Bacterial small subunit ribosomal RNA
Source: RNAcentral